This is a long non-coding RNA of Cheilinus undulatus (humphead wrasse), 8719 nucleotides long. RefSeq lists it as uncharacterized. The record is from RefSeq and is a predicted model, not a curated record. The transcript has 3 exons. NCBI's taxonomy places the organism in Eukaryota, Metazoa, Chordata, Actinopteri, Labriformes, Labridae.
CCACAGACAAUUUAGAGUCACUAAUUAACCUAAAGAGCAUGUUUUUGGUGGUGGGAGGGACAGAGAGAACCCUCCCAUGCACAGGGAGAACAUGCAAACUCCUCACAGAAAGGCCCUGACUGGGAAUCAACAGUGAGAACACACUCAAGGCAGCAAACGCAGCAGGUUGCCUUUAAGGUGUAAUGUUUGAGUGAGGACGUGAACAUCUUUACUGUGACUCUGUGUAGUUUACUGGUGACAGACGUGGAGUUCUCAGCUGCUCUCACAGAAUAUGACAAAUUCAACUCUGGAAAAACAAAACAGGAAGUACUCAGAACUCAAGCUUUGACUGUCCUGAAUGAGAGCAGACACUUUGAACAGACUGACUGAGAUAUUCUGAAGAAGAGGAUGAAAAUGGCAGAAUUAUUUUGAAUUUACCGACUGUAUUCAGGCAUUCAUCUGCAGAGGACUGGGCUGAUAACAGCAGACGUUCCUAGACACAGCUACCUGAAUGGAAGAGGAAUUUCUUGUGUGUCACCAAAAAUGAGAAUUUUGGAGAUCUUUCUGAGCGCUCACAGACAACACUGUACUCUGUAUGAACCUAAAUACAUUUGUCUUUAAAGAAGCUGAAUGAACUCUGCUUGGGUCGUCUGCUGUGAAUAAUUAUGCUCCUGAAUGUUUUUGCUCCAGCCUGUAUAUGAGAGUGUCAGCAAGCAAAGGGCCAUACGGUGUACAUCUCCUUUUACCAUGUGAUCGUAUCGAUUUGUUGAAGGAGAUAAACACAUUUAACCAUGAAAUAAAAAUUCACUAAAACAAUGUAUACCCCGUGUAGUAACAUCUUAGAAACCACAUAGAUAAACAUGAGCCUUUUUCUGUGUGUUAGUUUUAUGAACAAAAAUCUCAAAAUUCUAUACAAAGGCUUUACAGUAUACUUAAAAAGGCUAAAGGCUUUCUCCAGAGAUGAGGACUCCAGUCACACUUAAGUCGCACACAUCAGCAACUUGAGACUCCACUCGGACUUGUGAUUUGGGACUCGUGCACAACUUGGGUUUUUAUUUUAGCCACCAUGAUCUCCUGGGUCCCUGUUACUCUUUCCCCUGCCAGAAACCCAGUGAAGUAAUGUAAAUUUCUAUGUAUUGAUCCAUCCUGCCUGCCUGCAGGAGUGACCUUGUGCCCGUCAUAACAAACAACUGCUUAUUUAUUUCUUUCCACAAAUGUAUUUAAUUUCCUUACACUUAUUAUUUUUUUAUGAAUGUCCAUACCGCACACCAAUCCAUAACUAAACAUCCAUUUCGAGCUCAUCCCACAACCAGGGUUAGGUCACUUCCUCUUUCAUUCUCCUCACCUGAUGGGCACACAGGUGGCACGGCUGGAUGGCAUCAAAGGUAACGCACAGCGACUUCUUACUUUCUAGAAACUUCAGCGGCGAGUGUUAUUUCUUUGUUUACUUUAAUAAAAUGUGCAGAGUUGAUUUAAAACUCCCACUAAAUGCGUUAGUUCCUCCGUGGGACUUGCAGAGAUUUCUUUGCCAAACCUCAUUAAGAACAAUGCUAACUUAAGCUAGGCGCGGCUGCACGCUGUUUGUAUGUAUGUUUGUUAUGCUUAUUAUCAUUGAUUGAUCGGUAUAUUUCUUAGUGUGUUCUCUUGUAAUGAUCCCUUUGCUUUCUUUGAUAAUGAAUAGUAAUUGUUUUUAUUUUACUGACCCCUUUCUUUUAGGUCAGCCUCCCCCAUCCAUCCAUCCAGAGCCAUUGAGAGAGAGUUACGACACGUUUUUAUCUCGCAGCAGCGCGGUCACGUGGUUCACGUAGCUCCAAAUAGUUCCCAACAUACCAGAGCUGUCAGUCUGUUUGAAUGAGUUUGAGACCGCAGCAACGAGAGAUUUCAGUAAAUAUUAGCUUUUAAUCCACAGUGAUUGUUACUUUGAUUAUCAUAUUUAUCAUAUCUAUUGUAUAUAAUUACAACUUUUAGUAAUAGAUGCCAUUUUAGUGAUCAAAUACAGGAUUGUUGAGUUUUACAAUGAUACAUUUUGGGGGGAAUAGGGAUUACAUGGACAGUAGCAACUAGUUUUGUUGCUGCUAAUAUAUAAGGGGCAAUUUUCAAUGACUAUAAAUGCACAAUGUGUACUCAUUAUGAAUCUGACCACACCUAUAAUAGUAUUUUUUUAUGUGAUAUAGAGACAGGAUGAAACAUUUUGUCUGUUAACAUUCUGAGGGAACAGCAAAUACAUUAGUUGUCAGAACUAAUAAUAAUAAUACUAAUAACUUUAUUUGUAUAGCACUUUUAAAAACAUGGGUUUACAAAGUGCAUGCUUUUGCAUUGACAAGUGCAAAAGCAAACAGAAAACAAAGCAAAAAACCCAAGACACGAAGACAUAAUGUGACAGGCAGACAACAUCAGCAGAAUUCAACACUUAAAAAGAACUAACCAAAAAUAUGGAUGAGAUAAUAAUUCAUCAACAUCAAUAUAAACAAAGCCUAGACGUCAUGAGAUGCCAUGCGAACUAAGACAUCACAGACGUCAAUCAGAGUGCAGACAGGAGCCAUACUGCUCAACUAAGACAUCAUGAACAUCAUCAGGAUGCAGGAAAGACAGACAUCAGUACCAUAAAGCGAUAGGAACCCAGGCAAUGCAGGAACCCAGCUACACAGGCUGAGACCGAGGACCAAAAUUAAAGACGUGGGACAUUAAAAGACAGAAAGGAGUGAAAACAAAACAGGGGAUAAACAAGAAAAGGCAGUAAAAUGUAAUUAAGAGGGCAAAAACAGAUAGUAGAGCAAGGUAAAACAAGCUCUAAAACUGUAAAAGCAGUAAAAUUGACCAAUAUUAUAACAGAGGUAAACAAAAGGGAAGCAAUAAAAAUAUAAAAGCAAUAAAGUGAGGAAGACAGUAACGAUUAAAGACAGCUAAGAGGCAAGGAAAUAAGAUUAGGUUGACAGGGAGUAAAAGUGAGAUUAAGAGGAAAUUAAACGAAGAUAUGUAAGAAUCUGUGAGAACAUAAAAACUAAAUAAUAAUAACAAGAAGACGACAUCACAUAAAAGCAAGUCUAUAAGAAUGAGUUUUAGGAAGUGAUUUAAAAGAUGUCAAUGAUUCUGCAUGCCUUAUCUCCUCGGGUAGGUCGUUCCAAAGUCGAGGGGCUCUGAUGGAGAAGGCCCUGUCACCCUUAGAUUUGAGCCCCGACUUUGGGACGACCAGGAGGUUCCCCCCCGAGGAUCUGAGGCUGCGGGCUGGGACAAAAUGUACCUGUACACAGAGAGAAUGGUACAAAGACAAAUUUAAAUCCUAAAUUCCUUCUAAAGUCACUUUACCAGUAAAAUAAAAACAGAGUCAAAGCUGCAGUAAACACAAGACAUUUAUUAAUACUUAAUAGUUUUUCAUUACAUGUUAAAGUUUUUUCAAACAUGAGCUGUAACAGCUAUAAAAAUAGGAUCUAUUUCUUACAAACUUGUUUUGGCAUUAAAGAUAACAUCCACCUGCAGAAUGGAGAAAAGAACACUACUGGCUGUGCGGUCAGGUGAUAGGAAUCCAGGAAGCCUGCUGGAAAGCCAAGAGAAGAAGUAUACUGGUCAUGUGACACAUGACACCAUCCCAUCCAGUCCGCUAAAACCCAAACAUGGAGGCGACUGUGAAAGAGAGCAGCAAAGACAAGAAUGACUCUGCAGCAGAGAGGGGGGACACUGACGGAUCAUCCAACAUUCAAAGAAUCAGGGCAAACUGCAGGAAGCCGUCCAACUUUGUAGGAGUGUUGGUGAUGAAGAUUAUUGAGCAGUAUGUUUAGUUAAGUGGACGAUGAGAUGGAGCAGGUAGUUGAGCAAAUAAGAGCCGUUCAGGCUGCUUUUGCUGCUGUUGUCCUUUAGAAAUUUUAUAUCAGUAUUGGCUACAGUAAGUUUGUAAUUAUCAGCAUAUCCUGCACCCCUAGUCAAAACUAAGAGUAUAAUUAUUAUAUAGAUUAGUGUAUAGUAGUACAAUAUAGCACAAGCUUCAUGUUCUAAUGUGAGCCUUAUUUCAUUUUAUUUCAUUAUUUUACCAUCAGGUCAUUAAAUCUGGACCACGGGCCACAGUUUGGACACCACUGGUAAAAUUUAAUGAUACCCAGAACAAGAAGCUCUGGUUCACACUCCAGGACUGUAGGUGGCGGUAAUGCACAUUAACGAUGGUUGACACCCGCCAUUAAACUACAAGAAGAAGAAGAAAGAAGAGGCUGAUGGGCUCUGGAGAUCGGCGGCGUGGGUGAUGUGGUUAAUUUGAAAUUUCUGUUGAAUUUAUGGUUAAAACCUAUCCUAACUCAUCUGAAAAUCCAGUUGAUGACCUCGAACUGAAAAUCCGUCCGUUGGUGGAAAAGUUUGAGGUGGACAGAACUGAGGACAAUGGGGAAGUCUUCGAAGAAAACAACGGCAGGUAGGCACAACUGUGUUGUGAAUGGACCAGAGUGGGGAGAUACUGAUGGAUCAGAUGAGAGUGAGGAAAUGGAGAUUACUCGAAGUAGUCGUAAAUCAAAGGAUAGAGGAGAGGGUGAACCUACUGAGGCAGUGGUUAAGAAAUUCAGGAGUGUUCGGGGCGACGAGGAAGGAGGUUUGGGAAGGAGACAGGCAGGAUCUGAAUUUUAAAUCAUUUUGCGUUUUGGAGAGGCAAAUGGAGUUUUGUCAAUGAGUCCGGUAAGGCUAACCAUGAUUUUGAAAAACCAGGUAGGGGAUAAACAGAUGGCAAAGGUCCUGAAAGAUGGAAACUUGUUGAUUUGUUGUAGCAACGAAGAGCAGAGAAUGUGUGCAGUAAGGUUAACGGAAAUCAGACGGUUUAAAGUGGUAAGUGUGAGUUGUAUUGACAACAGAACUAAGUGGAUUAAAGGAGUGAUUUGGGGAGUGCCUGUUGGUGUACAUAUAGAUGAAAUCAUUGCCAAUGUAAAAGGAGGAGCGGUGAAAGCUGCAUGGCGACUGCAGGUUACCAGGGAGAAAGUGAGGAAGGAGAGUGAAGGCAUUGUACUGGAGUUUGAUGAAGAAGUUCUCCCUACAAAAGUAACACUUGGCUUCAUGAGCCAUAAUGUCAGGGAGUACAUCCCUAAGCCAAUGAGGUGUUAUAACUGUUAAAGGUUUGGUCACACAGCCAAGACAUGUAAAGGUAAGAGGAGAUGUGCCUGAUGUGGUGAAGAUCAUGACUAUGAGCAGUGUAGUCAUACACAACUGAAAUGUUGUAACUGUGGUGGUAACCAUAGCGUUGCAUACGGAGGGUGUGAGGUAAUGAAGAAGCAAAUGGAAAUCCAACAGGUUAAAGUUCAGGAGAAAGUCUCCUAUGCAGAAGCAGUUAAAAUGGUGAAUAUGAAAAGAGGAAAUGAUGGAAGAGGAAGAGCAGGAAAUGCAGUCUCAAGCAACCCAGACUCAAUCAAUGACAAUAAAAUGUUGGUGGACUUAAAGAAAUUGGUAACAUUCAUAGCUGGAGCCAUAAAUGCGACCAUGGAUGUUAAGUCAAAAACUGAGAGAAUCCAGACCAUAGUAAAAGUGGCAGUCCAUCACUUUGAGUUGAGUGAGAUGACUUGGGAAGAGGUGAGGGAUGACCUCAGUGCUCAUGCUAGUCAGGAGCAGGUAUGGGUUGGCUAACCUUGAUAAUGUUGUUAAUACUACAAUGGAAUGCAAGAAGUUUGUUAGCAAAUGGACAAGAAUUUAAAAAGUUUGUUGAUGAUUUAACUUGUAAAGCACUAGGUAGUAACCGAAAGAACGAGAUCACAGAUACAGGCAGCUGAAAUGAGUUUCAUCCACAGGGUGUCGGGGCUCUCCCUUAGAGAUAGGGUGAGAAGCUCGGCCAUCCGGGAGAGACUCGGAGUAGAGCCGCUGCUCCUCUGCGUUGAGAGGAGCCAGAUGAGGUGGCUCGGGCAUCUGGUCCGGAUGCCUCCUGGACACCUCCCUGGAGAGGUGUUCCUGGUCUCUCAGGACAUGCUGGAGAGACUACGUUGCUCGGCUGGCCUGUGAACGCCUUGGGAUCCCCCAGGAAGAGCUGGAUGAAGUGGCCUGAGAGAGGGAAGUCUGGGCUUCCCUGCUUAGGCUGCUGACCCCAUGAACCGAUCUCGGAUAGGCGGAAGAAGAUGGAUGGAUGAAUGGAUAUUAUCUGUGUACAAGAAACAUGGCUUAGACCUAUCCUAGAUUUCAGGAUACAGGGGUACAAUUCUAUUAGAUGUGACAGGAGAGAUGGAGGAGGGGGAGGUUGUGCAACAUUUGUUCGAGAAGGAAUUGCCUUUCGAGAAAUAGGAAUAGAAAUGAACAUGAAUUUGUAACUGUAGAAACGUGGACAGAGGAAGGGGAAUUUAUGAUUAUUAUUAUAAUCCAUGUAAAAAAACUGGAUCUAAACAUGUUUACACAAAUAGAAGGGCUAGAUGGCAACAGGGUGCUUAUAUGUGGGGACUUUAAUGCACAUGGCACAUUAUGGGGAGGAAUAAAAACAGAUGUAAACGGUGAGGUAAUAGAAGAGCUUCUGGAUGAAAGGAACUGGCAGAAAAAUGUGAAUGGGAUGUAUUUGAGGAAUCUUCAGUUGGCAGUGACCACUUUCCAAUUUUUUGUAAAAUGAGAUUUAAAAAGAGUAAGAGCCAAGUGAAUGUCAUGGGGAAAUGGAUGUUUGCCAAUGCUAACUGGGAAUUGUUUAAAUAUAUAAGUGAGAAUGAAAUACAUGAAGUUGAUUUAAAUGAAAGCAUAGAGGAAAUUGAGAGUGUGAUUAAAACUGUGUUAAUAGAAGCAGCCCAUAAGGCAAUUCCUAAAAGUAAAGGAAAAAUGAAGAGAACAGCAGUUCCUUGGUGGACUGAAGAGUGUGCUAAUGCAAUUUAAAAAAGGAAUAAAACUCUGAAAAUACUAAAACAAACCCAUACCUUCUAAAACGUAUUAAAUUAUAAACAAGCCCAGGCAAAGGUCAGGAAAAUCAUCCGCCAAGCAAAAAGAGCAAGUUGGAAGAAAUUCUGUAAUAAAAUAGGAAGAACAACUCCUAUAAGUGACAUAUGGAAUAUGAUAAAGAGUAUGAGAGGAAUCCGGAGGGAGAGACAAUAUCCAGAGUUAAAGAGUGGGAUAGAAACAGCAAUCUGUGAUGGAGAGAAAGCCGAGAUGACUGCAAAAGCACUUGUGAAAAUACUUAGUUCUAAAAACUUGAGCGAAAAAGGGGAAGAAAUCAACAAGAUCAGAAAACCCUGGUGCUCUUGGGAGGAAAAAUAACUUCGACAGUGUAAUGGAUGCUCCCUAUACAAUGGAAGAAAUGCAAAGGGCCAUAUUAAGAUCAGGUGAAUCCUCCCCAGGAAAGGAUGAUAUAUGUUAUGUCAAGCAUCUUGGUGCUGUGGCAAGUGAAAACUUGCUUGGAUUAUAUAAUAGAAUAUGGGGCGAAGGGAUAUUACCAUCUGGGUGGAAAUAAGCGGUUAUUAUUCCUAUCAGGAAACCUGGUAAAGGUGGGUCAAACCCAGUGAAUUACUGGAGAGGUGUGAUGAUGGAGGGAGAUCCUCCUCUCUGAUGAACUGCAGACCAGAUCUGGUUUCCACCGUGGUUCUUGCUGGAUGGUUUAGGUGGGACUGUUUAACCUCUGGUAGGAUAGGAGAGUCUGCUAGCACAGCUCGUCCUCUUCAUCAUAACAGAAACCUGAGGGAGGGAGAAAAUAUGAAGAACAGGUUAGACUAUCAGCAACAAUCCUUCUUCUGUGGCUGGACUAUUUUAAUAUUUAUUUUAAUAUUUCUUUCCUUCAGACUGACAGGAUUAUUUUAAUGCUGCCUUAUAAAUCAAUCAGUAUAUAACUGGAGUAGUUAGCAGCUUUUGAAGUCACACUCCACUGUUUUCAGAUCAGCAGCUUCAUUUGAACGGACUUUAACGUCUAAAAUAACCACAGAGUUGUUCCACAGUGGAAACAGUUUUUAAAGACAUGCAGGGUUCAAGUGGUUUCAUGGAAGUCCAUGCUAGGCUAGCUUAAAACGUUCCACUAUCAAAGUAAUAAUACUAAUAAUAAAUUUAUUUAUAAAGUGCUUUCAGGCAAAGUGCUGUACAUAGAGAUAAAAUCAACUUGACAAUAAAAACAUCAGAGAAUCCACAUAUACAAACAUACUGAGACAACACAAAUGGACAUCAGUAAAACAAUUUAAGACUCAUAUGUAACAGUAAACAAGUGGGUCUUCAGCUUUGCUUUAAAUACAUUGAUGGAAGAUGCCUGCCUGAUUUCAACAGGUAGACUGUUUCAUAAUGUUGGUGCACGGAAAGAAAAAGCCCGUUCCCCAACCAUCUUUUUUUGGUCCUUUGGGACGCUAAGAAGCCCAGUACCCUGAGAACGCAAGGCAUGAGUAGGGACAUAUGGGUUUACCAAAUUUGAUAGGUAAGAAGGGGCAAUGCCAUUUACAAUUUUAUAUGUUAGCAGCAGCACCUUAAAGUCUGCUCUAACAUGAACAGGUAGCCAGUGAAGAGAGGCCAGAAAGUUUCACUGUGUCAGAAAAAAGGUAGAAAAAACCCAAACAAAUGCACUGAGUAAAAAUAUUCAGAUGUAGAGAAGCUUUCUCUGACCUCUGUAGCUCCAGGAUAGUCAGAUAGUCCUCCAGAAUGUGAAGAUAUGAAGCUGACCCGUGGAACGAUUAUAUCCGGCCCACCAGAUCAUAUUAGUAUUCUAACUGUCCCACCAGCCUGAGGUCUGCAGAUUUACUCCAGUAUAAAAAUGUAAACUUCAACUUGAUUAUUCAAAAUAUUAAGACAUAAAAAUCUGAAACAGUAAAGAGUAAGAAAGAUUUCAGAAAAGUCCAGAAUG